GAUGGAGGGAGUAUAUAUUACACUGAUCUAUGGUUUAAAUAAAAAGGAAAGACUACUUUGAGUAUUUAUUCCGUGGACACAAAGAUUUGAACUCCAUGCGGAUGGUGUCGCGCCCUCACUCCAGCACUGCACUUAUUACAUUCUCUCUCACUUUCUUGUCCGCGUCAUUCUCAUUUUUUUUUGAAUUCUCAUAUCAUGCACUUUUUAAGGGAAUCAUUCUCAACUUAUGUUUCAUAUCCCGGUGAUUCUCUUACAAUUUUCCCUUGAAGCUGCACAUCGCAUAUGGAUAUGGUCGCUGUCCAAGCGCCAUAUGCAUGUCCAAUAUGACAUUUAGG
This 335-nucleotide long non-coding RNA is filed under the name Setaria viridis. RNAcentral's name for it is "long non-coding RNA (SVIR_LNC001943)". Lineage: Eukaryota; Viridiplantae; Streptophyta; Magnoliopsida; Poales; Poaceae. The record is from RNAcentral.